ACAGAGGGUGCAAGCGUUAAUCGGAAUUACUGGGCAUAAAGGGAGCGUAGGUGGCUCGAUAAGUCAGAUGUGAAAUCCCCGGGCUCAACCUGGGAACUGCAUCUGAUACUGUUGAGCUAGAGUAUGUGAGAGGAAGGUAGAAUUCCAGGUGUAGCGGUGAAAUGCGUAGAGAUCUGGAGGAAUACCGAUGGCGAAGGCAGCCUUCUGGCAUAAUACUGACACUGAGGCUCGAAAGCGUGGGUAGCAAACAGGAUUAGAUACCCUGGUAGUCCACGCCGUAAACGAUGUCUACUAGUCGUUGGGUCCCUUGAGGACUUAGUGACGCAGCUAACGCAAUAAGUAGACCGCCUGGGGAGUACGGCCGCAAGGUUA
Molecule: ribosomal RNA, 372 nt
Filed under: uncultured bacterium
Lineage: Bacteria
Description: bacterial SSU rRNA
Rfam family: Bacterial small subunit ribosomal RNA
Source: RNAcentral